Molecule: transfer RNA, 66 nt
Filed under: Necremnus tutae
Lineage: Eukaryota; Metazoa; Arthropoda; Insecta; Hymenoptera; Eulophidae
Description: tRNA-Glu
Source: RNAcentral
UUUUAUGUAGUUUAAAAAAAACAUUAUAUUUUCAUUAUAAAAUUAAAAUUAUUAAUUUCAUAAAAU